This 77-nucleotide transfer RNA is filed under the name Clostridiales bacterium. Its description in RNAcentral is "tRNA-Thr". It matches the Rfam family "tRNA". From Rfam's summary of the family: Transfer RNA (tRNA) molecules are approximately 80 nucleotides in length. The record is from RNAcentral. Lineage: Bacteria; Bacillati; Bacillota; Clostridia; Eubacteriales.
GCUAUUGUGGCGCAAUUUGGUAGCGCAAGUGUUUUGUAAGCACUAGGUUGUCUGUUCGAGUCAGAUCAAUAGCUCCA